UACGUAGGUGGCAAGCGUUGUCCGGAUUUACUGGGUGUAAAGGGCGUGUAGCCGGGCUGACAAGUCAGAUGUGAAAUUCCGGGGCUCAACCCCGGACCUGCAUUUGAAACUGUUGGUCUUGAGUAUCGGAGAGGCAGGCGGAAUUCCUAGUGUAGCGGUGAAAUGCGUAGAUAUAUGGAAGAACACCAGUGGCGAAAGCGGCUCUCUGGUCUGUAACUGACGCUGAGGUUCGAAAGCGUGGGUAGCAAACAGG
Molecule: ribosomal RNA, 253 nt
Filed under: uncultured bacterium
Lineage: Bacteria
Description: partial 16S ribosomal RNA
Rfam family: Bacterial small subunit ribosomal RNA
Source: RNAcentral